AAAGAGGCAUUAUUUUCAUUCGAGGACGUGCCUUCCUCUUUGCCUCCUGCUGUCACUAACAUUUUGCAGGAGUUCGCUGACGUUUUUCCACAAGACGUGCCACCGAGAUUACAGCCUAUUCGAGGGAUUGAGCAUCAGAUCGACUUAAUUCCCGGUGCUUCACUGCCAAACCGUGCACCAUACCGUACCAAUCCAGAGGAGACGAAGGAGAUUAUGCGUCAAGUACAAGAGCUUCUCGACAAAGGUUAUAUACGCGAAUCCCUUAGUCCUUGUGCUGUUCCUAUUAUUCUAGUGCCGAAAAAGGAUGGUACAUCACGUAUGUGUGUUGAUUGUAGAGGCAUUAAUAAUAUUACUAUUCGUUAUCGUCAUCCUAUUCCUAGGCUAGAUGAUAUGCUUGAUGAAUUGAGUGGCUCUACAAUAUUCUCCAAAGUUGAUUUGCGUAGUGGCUACCAUCAAAUACGUAUGAAAUUGGGAGAUGAAUGGAAAACAGCAUUUAAAACUAAGUUUGGAUUAUAUGAGUGGUUAGUCAUGCCUUUUGGGUUAACUAAUGCACCUAGUACUUUCAUGAGAUUAAUGAACAAAGUUUUACGUGCUUUCAUUGGACGAUUUGUGGUAGUUUACUUUGAUGACAUAUUGAUUUAUAGCAGAUCUUUGGAGGAACAUUUGGAACAUUUACGUGCUGUUUUUAUUGCUCUACGUGAUGCACAUUUGUUUGGUAACCUUGGGAAGUGCACCUUUUGCACCGACCGAGUAUCUUUUCUUGGCUAUGUUGUUACUCCACAGGGAAUUGAAGUUGAUAAAGCCAAGAUUGAAGCUAUUGAGAGUUGGCCGCAGCCCAAAACGGUCACACAAGUGAGGAGUUUUCUUGGCCUCGCUGGAUUCUAUAGGCGUUUUGUGAGAGAUUUCAGCACCAUUGCUGCACCUCUCAAUGAGCUUACAAAGAAAGAUGUGCCUUUUCUUUGGGGUACCGCACAAGAAGAUGCCUUCUCGGUAUUGAAAGAUAAGUUGACACAUGCUCCUUUACUCCAACUUCCUGAUUUUAAUAAGACUUUUGAGCUUGAAUGUGAUGCUAGUGGAAUUGGAUUAGGAGGUGUGUUAUUACAAGAUGGCAAACCUGUUGCAUACUUUUCUGAAAAAUUGAGUGGGCCUAGUCUGAAUUAUUCUACUUAUGAUAAAGAAUUAUAUGCUCUUGUUCGGACUUUAGAAACAUGGCAACAUUAUUUAUGGCCCAAAGAAUUUGUUAUACAUUCUGAUCAUGAAUCUUUGAAACAUAUUAAAAGUCAAGCUAAACUGAAUCGUAGACAUGCUAAAUGGGUUGAAUUCAUUGAGACUUUCCCUUAUGUCAUUAAACACAAGAAGGGAAAAGAAAAUGUUAUUGCUGAUGCAUUGUCUCGCCGCUAUACUAUGCUUUCACAACUUGACUUCAAAAUAUUUGGUUUGGAGACCAUCAAAGAUCAAUAUGUGCAUGAUGCUGAUUUUAAAGAUGUAAUGCAGAAUUGUAAAGAAGGACGAAUGUGGAACAAGUUUCUCGUUAACGAUGGAUUUGUGUUUCGUGCUAACAAGCUAUGCAUUCCAGCUAGCUCCGUUCGUCUUUUGUUGUUGCAGGAGGCGCAUGGAGGAGGAUUAAUGGGACACUUUGGCGUGAAGAAGACGGAGGACGUACUUGCUACACAUUUCUUUUGGCCAAAGAUGAGACGGGAUGUUGAGCGUUUUAUUGCUCGAUGCACUACAUGUCAAAAAGCUAAGUCACGACUCAAUCCUCAUGGUUUAUAUAUGCCUUUGCCUGUACCUAGUGUUCCUUGGGAGGAUAUAUCUAUGGACUUUGUUUUAGGUUUACCUCGAACAAAGAAGGGGAGGGAUAGCAUAUUUGUUGUCGUGGAUAGAUUCUCGAAAAUGGCACACUUUAUACCAUGUCAUAAAAGCGAUGAUGCUGUUAAUGUUGCUGAUUUGUUCUUUCGUGAAAUUAUUCGCUUGCAUGGUGUGCCAAAUACUAUUGUUUCAGAUCGUGAUAGUAAAUUUCUUAGCCAUUUUUGGAGAUGUUUAUGGGCUAAGUUGGGGACUAAACUGCUUUUUAGUACUACUUGUCACCCCCAAACUGAUGGACAAACUGAAGUAGUCAAUAGAACGUUGUCUACUAUGCUUAGGGCUGUUUUGAAGAAUAAUAAGAAAAUGUGGGAGGAAUGCUUGCCUCAUAUUGAAUUUGCUUAUAAUCGUUCAUUGCAUUCUACUACUAAGAUGUGCCCUUUUGAAGUUGUGUAUGGUUUCCUACCUCGUGCACCUAUUGAUUUGUUGCCUCUUCCAUCUUCGGAGAAGGUUAAUUUUGAUGCUAAACAACGUGCUGAAUUGAUUUUAAAAAUGCAUGAGUUAACUAAGGAAAACAUUGAGCGUAUGAAUGCUAAAUAUAAACUUGCUGGAGAUAAGGGUAGAAAACAUGUUGUGUUUGCACCUGGAGAUCUUGUUUGGUUACAUUUGCGUAAGGAUAGAUUUCCUGAUUUGCGCAAAUCAAAGUUACUGCCAUGUGCUGAUGGUCCCUUUAAGGUGUUAGAGAAAAUAAAUGAUAAUGCAUAUAAACUUGAGCUGCCUGCAGAUUUUGGGGUUAGUCCCACUUUUAACAUUGCAGAUUUGAAGCCUUAUUUGGGUGAGGAAGAU
RNAcentral lists this ribosomal RNA (2649 nucleotides) under Triticum aestivum (bread wheat). Its description in RNAcentral is "partial small subunit ribosomal RNA". Lineage: Eukaryota; Viridiplantae; Streptophyta; Magnoliopsida; Poales; Poaceae. The record is from RNAcentral.